This is a long non-coding RNA of Medicago truncatula (barrel medic), 881 nucleotides long. RefSeq lists it as uncharacterized. The record is from RefSeq and is a predicted model, not a curated record. Lineage: Eukaryota; Viridiplantae; Streptophyta; Magnoliopsida; Fabales; Fabaceae. The transcript is spliced from 2 exons.
GCAGCAGGCAGCAUAAAUUGAAUCAGAAUCCAUGUUCUACACAAUGGAGUUAUUAUUAUCAGUACAAGGACAGAAAAGGUAGCUUAUUCUUUGUUUCUGUAAUGGUGGACACAGUUGCUGCUGCUGUUAUUUCUGAUGUAGAACCCUCCAGCUGAAUGCAUAGCAUGAAAAUGUAAAUUAGUUGCAUUAUAUUUUCAAGUAGUAGGUUAACUAAAUUUAUUUUCUUUAAUAUUUAUUUUUAGCUUUAUAUUGUAAUUAUGCCUUAAAAUCUCAUGUACAAAUGCUGGAAAUAGUAAUUUCUUAUUGUCCAAGGCACCAGGCAUGUGGAAGGUGAUAAAAAAGCUUGUUUCUAGGUAUUUCACACAUUUCGGGGCUUUGAAUUGCGCUGGGUGCAUGAGACUUUUCACCAGGCGCCUUCUGUACUGAUGUGGCUUACGCUAGGCUCAUGAUCUGGGGAAAAGCAGCCAGUGCUGCUGAUCUGUUGUGCUAGAUGCACGAGGCCUUGCGUGAGGCGCAUAUAAGCAGUUUUUCAGCAUCAUUUGAAUUCACAACACUUUAAAAUGCACAAUGAGAUUGUACUAUAUUAUUACAUUAUAUUCUUGAGAAGGUUUGAUGGUAGUAUCAGUUUCUCCAGGUGGAUAUUGUUGGUUUAUCAAGAACAGAUACAUUAGUGAUCUUGAGCUAUUAGUUCCAUCAAUUUACUAAGGCUUUAGACCAUUGAAUAAGUAAUUAUUUGGAGAGAAAUAUCCCAUGGUCUGUGAAUUACUUCAGAAUGCUAUUGAAGGUAUCUCUAAAUUAGUAACAUUUCCAACAAUUCCAUGUUCGGCCUUUGGUGUUUGUUUCGUUUUCAUCUGCACGAAAAGUAGCAUAUUUGAUUCAAA